CUCGGAGCGCUGCUUUUCUCUACGUGCUUUGCACAUGCGCGACUGCUUUUCCCUUCUUCCUCCGCUUCCACUGGCGUCCACGGUUCGCGGAGCCGCCGGCAGCGCGGCGGAGAAGUCGGGAAGUUCAAGAUGGCCGCCGCGGAGCCCCCGUCGCUGCGGGAGCAGGCGGAAAUGGAUGAUGGUGAUAAUUCUGAAAAGAGUGUAAAUGAAGAAAAUGGAGAAGUAUCAGAAGACCAGUCUCAAAAUAAACACAGUCGUCACAAAAAAAAGAAGCAUAAACACAGAAGUAAACAUAAGAAACAUAAACAUUCCUCAGAAGAAGAUAGGGAUAAAAAACAUAAACAUAAGCAUAAGCAUAAGAAACGUAAAAAAGGAGCUGUAGAUGCCUCUGACAAAGAAGGCCUCUCCCCUGCAAAAAGAACUAAACUUGAUGACUUAGCUUUGCUGGAAGACUUGGAAAAACAGAGAGCCUUGAUUAAAGCUGAGCUUGACAAUGAGUUAAUGGAGGGAAAGGUCCAGUCUGGAAUGGGGCUCAUUUUGCAAGGCUAUGAGUCUGGCUCCGAAGAAGAAGGAGAGAUUCAUGAAAAGGCAAGAAAUGGAAAUAGGUCCAGUACCAGGUCUUCCAGUACACGGGGGAAACUUGAAAUUACGGACAACAAAAAUAGUGCAAAAAAACGAAGUAAAAGCAGAUCCAAAGAAAGGACUAGACACAGGUCGGACAAAAGGAAAAGCAAGGGAGCUGUUGACAUGGUGAGAGAGAAAGCAAAUAGGAGCAAGUCCAAGGAGAGGAGAAAAUCCAUAAGUCCGUCCAAAAGAAGCAAAUCUCAAGACCAAGCAAGAAAAUCAAAGUCCCCUACCCUUAGACGGCGGUCCCAAGAAAAGAUUGGGAAGGCCAGAUCUCCUGCUGAUGAUAAGAUUAAGAUUGAAGAUAAAGGUAAAAUAAAAGAUAGGAAGAAAUCACCAAUUGUAAAUGAAAGAAGUCGAGAUCGAUCUAAAAAAUCCAGGUCUCCAGUUGACCUAAGAGAUAAAUCCAAAGACAGAAGGUCAAGGUCCAAAGAGCGAAAGUCAAAGCGGUCUGAAAUUGACAAAGAAAAGAAGCCAAUUAAGUCUCCUUCAAAAGAUGCCUCUUCAGGGAAGGAAAAUAGGUCACCCAGUAGAAGACCUGGCCGGAGUCCCAAAAGAAGAAGUUUAUCUCCAAAACAGCGAGACAAGUCAAGAAGAAGUAGGUCCCCACUUCUCAAUGACAGACGGUCUAAGCAGAGUAAAUCGCCUUCUCGAACUCUGUCUCCAGGUAGAAGGGCCAAGAGCCGAUCCUUAGAAAGAAAGCGAAGAGAGCCAGAGAGGAGACGACUUUCUUCUCCAAGAACACGGCCUCGAGAUGAUAUUCUCAGUAGAUGCGAACGAUCAAAAGAUGCUAGCCCCAUCAAUAGGUGGUCUCCAACCCGAAGAAGAAGUAGGUCUCCCAUUAGGAGGAGAUCCCGUUCCCCAUUGAGACGCAGUAGGUCUCCAAGACGAAGAAGCAGGUCCCCUCGGAGAAGAGAUAGGGGUCGAAGGAGCAGGUCUCGCUUGAGAAGAAGAUCUCGGUCACGUGGUGGUCAUAGGAGAAGGAGCAGAAGCAAAGUAAAGGAAGAUAAAUUUAAAGGAAGUCUUUCUGAAGGAAUGAAAGUUGAGCAAGAAUCUUCAUCUGAUGAUAACCUUGAAGAUUUUGAUGUAGAGGAAGAAGAUGAAGAGGCGCUAAUAGAACAGAGGAGGAUACAGAGGCAGGCCAUUGUACAGAAAUAUAAAUACCUUGCUGAAGAUAGCAAUAUAUCUGUGCCAUCUGAGCCAAGCAGCCCCCAGAGCAGCACGAGGUCACGAUCGCCUUCUCCAGAUGACAUCUUGGAGCGGGUAGCUGCUGAUGUAAAAGAAUAUGAGCGAGAGAAUGUUGACACCUUUGAGGCCUCAGUAAAAGCCAAGCAUAAUCUAAUGACUGUUGAACAAAAUAAUGGUUCAUCUCAGAAGAAGCUUUUGGCACCUGAUAUGUUUACAGAAUCUGAUGAUAUGUUUGCUGCUUAUUUUGAUAGUGCUCGUCUCCGUGCUGCUGGCAUCGGGAAAGAUUUCAAAGAGAAUCCCAACCUUAGAGAUAAUUGGACAGAUGCAGAAGGCUAUUACCGUGUGAACAUUGGGGAAGUCCUAGAUAAGCGUUAUAAUGUGUAUGGCUACACUGGGCAGGGUGUGUUUAGCAAUGUUGUACGUGCCAGGGAUAAUGCAAGAGCCAAUCAGGAAGUGGCGGUAAAGAUCAUCAGAAACAAUGAACUCAUGCAAAAGACUGGUUUAAAAGAACUAGAAUUCUUGAAAAAACUUAAUGAUGCUGAUCCUGAUGACAAAUUUCAUUGCCUGCGCCUCUUCAGACACUUUUACCAUAAGCAGCACCUCUGUCUUGUAUUCGAGCCUCUCAGUAUGAACUUGCGAGAGGUAUUAAAAAAGUAUGGUAAGGAUGUCGGUCUCCAUAUUAAAGCUGUGAGAUCCUACAGUCAGCAAUUGUUCCUGGCGUUGAAACUCCUUAAAAGAUGCAACAUCCUGCAUGCAGAUAUCAAGCCAGACAAUAUUCUGGUCAAUGAAUCAAAAACAAUUUUAAAGCUUUGUGAUUUUGGAUCGGCUUCGCAUGUUGCAGAUAAUGACAUAACGCCUUAUCUUGUCAGUAGAUUUUAUCGUGCUCCGGAGAUCAUUAUAGGUAAAAGCUAUGACUAUGGUAUCGAUAUGUGGUCUGUAGGUUGCACCUUAUAUGAACUCUAUACUGGAAAAAUCUUAUUUCCUGGCAAAACUAAUAACCAUAUGUUGAAGCUCGCCAUGGACCUCAAAGGAAAGAUGCCAAAUAAGAUGAUUCGGAAAGGUGUAUUCAAAGACCAACAUUUUGACCAAAAUCUGAACUUCAUGUACAUAGAGGUUGAUAAAGUAACAGAGAGGGAGAAAGUUACUGUCAUGAGCACCAUUAACCCAACUAAGGACCUGUUGGCUGACUUGAUUGGGUGCCAGCGACUUCCUGAAGAUCAACGUAAAAAAGUGCACCAGCUAAAGGACUUGUUGGACCAGAUCCUAAUGUUGGACCCGGCUAAGCGAAUUAGCAUCAACCAGGCCCUGCAGCAUGCAUUCAUCCAGGAAAAAAUUUAAACGAGAUGAAGAAACUCCAAGGGUUUGAGUAACUAAAUACAAAGACUGAAGAAAUUUCACAGCAGUUUAUUAUUAAUGUAUAUAAACUUAUAAAUAUUUCUGCAGCAAAUUUGAGGAAGCAUGAUAUAUUUGAAUUAACACCAAGGGUGAUAUUUCUUUUAGAAAUGUUAGUUAAACUGUUUUGUGUCUUAUGUGAAAUUUCACUGUAGAAAUGUUUUAAUUGCCAAGACUGCACAAAAUUAAAGUGCUAAUGUAUAUGGUUGCAGUUCACAUAAAAGACAAAAGCAUCUGUUAUGAGUAGCAGUGCUGGGUGGUUGAUUUGUUUUUAGCAGACUUGGCUUCAUUUUGGUCUUCAGAUACAAUGGCCAGCAUAAAUGCUGUUUAUAUUCACGUUUUCCUAGGUGUGUGUGUGCAGGCCACAGCAGCAUGCCCUUGGUGUAGUCAGUGCCGAAGGGAGUCUGUUCCUUCUUGAGCCUGCCUGCAGGGAUGUCUCCUCUUUUAAAGCAGGUUGUGUACAACAUUCAGUACACUGAAGGUAAGCUAAACCAUCAACAUCACCAGUGUUUUAAGAUGUUAUUUUAUUGGAAUAAUUGAAAAUGAGGGAUAGCUGUGUGGCAGAAUUUCCUGCAUGUGUGAUAAUUGAUCUUGUUUUAUUUUUCUGGCAUCGCGACUGUGGCAUAGUUACAGUUUCUGUUCUGUUCAUCACAUUUAAAAUUUGAAGCGUAUGUGCUUGAUGGAUAGAGCGCCUUCAGUGUACUGUUUCUUAUUAACUUUGCUUUUUUUUAAAUCAACUUGCUAUAGACUUUAUAUACAUUUUGUUAAAUACAGUUCUUAGUGACAUAGAAACUGCAUAGUUCUCAUUUACUAAUUAAAAUGUUGAGGCCUACUUCUGAAAGUCCUCAUAUUUAAAAGAUAGACAGCAUAAUGAGAUUUUUAACUAUUUGUAUGUCAUUUUGAAAGUGUACUGCUUUAUGGUAAAAGUGUUUUUCAUUUGUUCAUUGUUUGCAUUAUUUGUGAUCAUGUUGUCUUUCAAUACAGGCAUAAACCUCCCACUCUUGAACAAAGCAGCUGCUUUUUAAAAGCGAGAAAAAGGAAAACGGGGCACAGGCCAUUCGACGCCUUCUCCAAGGGGUCUGAUUUGCUGAGACACCAGCUUCACCUUCUUAACAAGGUUAUUUCUGACAGCAUGUGUAGAUAAACAUUUAGCAACAAUUUAAAACAAAAUCAUGUAAAUCAGCUUGGUUUUGUAACACAAAGGAAUUUGUAUUUUUAAUAUGGUAUAAGAGAAUUUUCAGAAUCCUGUGUAAUCUUUUCUGUUUUGGAGUGGGUAAACUUACUGCUUGUCUCCCUGAGGAUUAUGAGAACAAUAAAAUUUUGGGGUUUAAAUAAUAUUUUUACAUUGUAAAUGGGAUUUUUUUAUUCACCCAGGCACCUAAUUACAACAAGCAUGCACAUUUUGGUGCAUUCAAGAAUGGAAUAUCAGAGUAGCAGCAUUCUCCUGGUGGGUUAUGCUCCAUUUAAAGACAUGAAAUGAACUACACAGCCAGGAAGGUGAUAGAUGAGAUAAUAAACCACCUAUGAACCUACACCCCCAUCUCUCUUCAUGGUUAGACUUACUAAAAUAAGUACAAGGUGAUUUUCAUCUAUGGGUAGAGUGAGGCCUUUAAACAAGGCGUCACAGGUGCAGCGCCCACCUUAAUGAUCUGAGUAGCGAGUUUCCCACCAUGACUGACUUUAUUUUGGUGCUGGUAUGCUGCAUAGUCAAGUAUUUUGUAGUUGUUUUCACUCAGUAGUUAAUGCUUUGGCUUCUGGUGGUUUUCAUGGCUUCAUUUUAUAGUUAAUAAGUUAAUUUCCACUAGAAACCAUUCAUCUUAUGCCUUCAAAGCUGUUGCCUACUCUUUAAAAAAAAAACAAAACAACAACAACAAAAAAAAAAACAAAGUUGCUUGUUACUUGUUCUUUGUGUUUUAGGUGCGGCUCAGUGGAAGAUGACGGCAGCCAGAAGACAUGAGCCGAGGCUUCUGUCCCAUAAAGACCUUUUCAGUUCUCAUUUUUAGUUUCAGCAUUAUAAUUUGGGUGUCAUUGCUGUGGUAGUUAGAGUAGUGGUGCUGUUGUGCUCGUCUGUAAAGUGUUUGUUUUUAUCACAUUUGCUGCAGCUACACCCUUCUAAAAUGAAAAUCAGCUUAGUCAUAGAAAAAGCCCACACUCAUGGUCAUCAGAGUCACUGAGAAAGCAAUAAAUAGCUGCCAAGUCAGUGUACAUUUGAAAGUAAUCUGCGAGUUGGGUUUAUUGACCACACCGGGCAAGUGGAGGCAGUAAGAGAUUGAGAUCAAGGCCUACGUAGCCUAUAUGAACCCUCUCCUUUUGUUUUUGUUUUCUUUUUAAAAUAAUUCUUUAGCUUUAAACAGGCACCUAAAUUGUAUGAGUAGUAAAAUUUUAAUAAACUGUUUGACUCUCUUAAUAGCUCUUCUUUCUCUUAGUCCUUCAUGACCAGCUUUUUAGUGCCAGAGACAAGGGGGAGGUGUGAACGAUGGUACUGUACUAUUACUUUUCCCAAAGGGACUCUGUAAACUGUGUUAGUACGCUCCAUUCUACGUGGUGGCUGACUUCUCUGAGGAAGAAGUCUGGAGGUGUGUGAGAGCUGUUAGGUUGGGGUCAUUUGGCUAAUGACCCUAUUUAUCAAACCUGUGUUUGUGUUUCUGAGUGGCUGAGCUGUUUCCACAUAAAAUUGUUAUGAGCUUUAAACUUUAUGGGAAAAUGACAAGUGAUUAUCAGACUUGAGGUUAAUAAAACUAUUUUGUCUUUUAGAAAAAUUUUAAAGCCAAGUUUUGUUCUUCUUAAGAAAUAAAAGAUACGUGGGUAUCCAUGUACUCAUUAUACACAUGGGCAGUUAAUCCAAAGAUCUUCUGAUGUUAAAACCAUUAUUCAGAGCAGUACAUGCAGACACCUCGGAGAGUGCUCAGAAAACUCUUAAGCAUAACUCUCAGAGAUUUGAUUAUCUGAGAUUAGAGGAGGAAAGGACAUUCAGAAAGCAUCCGUUGUAGAUGCUAGCCUCUUGGCAGACUUGGUUCUCAGGGACCAUCAGAAAUGAGGGAGUGUGGCAGUUGUGAACAGGAGCAGCUUAUUGGUAUAAACAGCAACCUCUCAGUACUUGUGUUUACACUGAAGUCCUGAUUGAAAACCUUCUGGGUCUUGAUUCCCAGUGGCUACUUUCUCAGCUAUUUUGUUGAAAAAUAAUAAUGUGAUUUAUAUCUUACCAUUGCAGUUACCAUCUUUUUUCCUAAUGAAACUAAAUACUCAGGACAGUUUUGGAAUAGAAAAUACAUAUUUUAUUGUGUGUAGCAGACUUAGUAAAAUGUAGUUUUCUCAUUUUAGCCCCAGGUUUGCAUUUAUCCUAGUCUACCUGCAUAGGCACAAAUAGACUGAAAUGAAACAAAGGAAUUACAUGUAUUCAAAUUUAGGUUAGACAUUUAGGAAAUGAAUGUAUUUAUUUUGGCAAUGAGAUUAUAUAGUGAAAUGUGAUAUGUAGUAUGCUUCCUUUCUUAUGAUACUAUUAGCAGUUGGACUCUAUAAGAAAGUAUUGUUCUGUGGCCAUAGUAUAUGCAACAUGAAUUUAUUCUCCUACAUGAAAUGUUCUUAUACAAAUGUUCACUGCAAAUUCAUUGUACUUUUUACAUGUUGAUACAAAGUUGACUAUAAGAUGUGUUUUGUUUUUCUUUUGUUGGUUACAUUGAGAUACCACUGUGGUAUCCUUACUUUCUCCUGUAUAUAGGGUAAGGGACUGUUCUUCUGAAGAACCAUUCCAUUUAGUGAUCAAGAUACAGUAGCUGCUCUCAGAAAAUGCUUGACGUGUAUCCUAAUUGUUCACGAUACCAUUUGAGUUGUAACUUGCAUUGUAGCAGCAAAUGAUCCCCAACAACCUCAUAGGAAGCUUAAUAAAGUAUGCCUCUUGCUACCAUA
RNA transcript from Microtus oregoni (creeping vole), 7110 nucleotides. It is a transcript of the gene named pre-mRNA processing factor 4B, with no coding region annotated. NCBI's taxonomy places the organism in Eukaryota, Metazoa, Chordata, Mammalia, Rodentia, Cricetidae. The record is from RefSeq and is a predicted model, not a curated record. The transcript is spliced from 16 exons.